RNAcentral lists this small RNA (80 nucleotides) under Flavobacterium micromati. RNAcentral describes it as "Flavo-1 RNA". It matches the Rfam family "Flavo-1 RNA". The record is from Rfam by way of RNAcentral. Lineage: Bacteria; Pseudomonadati; Bacteroidota; Flavobacteriia; Flavobacteriales; Flavobacteriaceae.
CCCUAGCCCAGAUAGAAAUGAAAAUCCUUUUAUGAGGUUUUUUCCCGAAUAAAAGAUUGUAAUGAAUAGCUGGAAAUAGC